RNAcentral lists this ribosomal RNA (1189 nucleotides) under Trichopsetta ventralis (sash flounder). RNAcentral describes it as "partial 16S ribosomal RNA". It matches the Rfam family "Bacterial large subunit ribosomal RNA", at positions 593 to 2558 of the family's 2925-position model. The record is from RNAcentral. Lineage: Eukaryota; Metazoa; Chordata; Actinopteri; Pleuronectiformes; Bothidae.
UAUUUCUUGUACCUCUUGCAUCAUGCUUUAGCUAGUACACACAAGCGAGGAGGACCAGAGCUUGUCACCCCGAAACCUGGUGAGCUACUUCAAGACAGCCUGUUUCAGGGCGAACCCGUCUCUGUGGCAAAAGAGUGGGAAGAUCUUUGAGUAGAAGUGACAGACUUAUCGAACCCGGUUAUAGCUGGUUGUCUGGAAAAUGGAUAUCAGUUCAGCCCUCUCGCUUCUUUGCAGCUGAGAGGAGUUAGUCGAAGGGGGUACAGCCCCUUUGAAAAAAGAUACAACUUUCUAAGGAGGAUAAAGAUUAUGAUAACUAAGGAGUAGCAUCUUAGUGGGCCUGAUAGCAGCCACCUGAAUAGAAAGCGUUAUAGCUCAAGCGCAAUAUCCUGAUAAUGCUCUCCAAAGCCCCGAUAAUUAUACCAGACCAUUCUACGAGAUACGGUAGAAGAGAACAUGCUAAUAUGAGUAAUAAGAAAGGGCUUUCUCCCGACACACACGUACAUCGACAUGGACAACCCACCGAAAAUUAACGGACCCAACAGAAGAGGGCAUUGAUAAACAACUGGAAAAACAAUCCCCGUUACCCCCACACUGGUGUGUCGAAGAGAAAGACUAAAAGAAAGAGGAGGAACUCGGCAAAUAAGCCUCGCCUGUUUACCAAAAACAUCGCCUCUUGCUAGAAUAAGAGGUCGAGCCUGCCCAGUGACACUAUGUUCAACGGCCGCAGUAUCUUGACUGUGCUAAGGUAGCGCAAUCACUUGUCUCUUAAAUGGAGACCUGUAUGAAAGGCAUGACGAGGGCUUAGCUGUCUUCUUUUUCCAGUCAGUGAAAUUGAUCUCCCCGUGCAGAAGCGGGGAUAUAAACAUAAGACGAGAAGACCCUGUGGAGCUUAAGACACAGGGACAGAUCAUGCUAAAAACCCCACCCAGGGAAAAACUUACUGACACCUGUCCCAAUGUCUUUGGUUGGGGCGACCAUGGGGAAAGCCCAACCCCCAUGCAGACAAGGAGCACUCCUACAAACCAGAGCCCCAGCUCUAGUUAACGAGACAUUCGACUUAAACUGAUCCGGGAUAACCGAUCAACGAACAGAGUUACCCCAGGGAUAACAGCGCUAUCCCCUUCAAGAGCCCAUAUCGCCAAGGGGGUUUACGACCUCGAUGUUGGAUCAGGACAUCCUAAUGGCGCAG